GAUCAGAUGAAGAAAAAAAUAACUGCAACAAAAUGAGAUCUAAUGAUCACUGUUAUUUAAGUCUCUGAUGAUC
Cryptomeria japonica (Japanese cedar) is the source of this 73-nucleotide small nucleolar RNA. RefSeq annotates it as small nucleolar RNA Z199. The record is from RefSeq and is a predicted model, not a curated record. The transcript has a single exon. NCBI's taxonomy places the organism in Eukaryota, Viridiplantae, Streptophyta, Pinopsida, Cupressales, Cupressaceae.